This 253-nucleotide ribosomal RNA is filed under the name uncultured bacterium. Its description in RNAcentral is "partial 16S ribosomal RNA". It matches the Rfam family "Bacterial small subunit ribosomal RNA", at positions 524 to 776 of the family's 1533-position model. The record is from RNAcentral.
UACGUAGGGGGCAAGCGUUGUCCGGAUUUAUUGGGCGUAAAGAGCGUGUAGGCGGCUAGGUAGGUCCGUUGUGAAAACUCGAGGCUCAACCUCGAGACGCCGAUGGAAACCAUCUGGCUAGAGUCCGGAAGAGGAGAGUGGAAUUCCUGGUGUAGCGGUGAAAUGCGCAGAUAUCAGGAGGAACACCGGUGGCGAAGGCGGUUCUCUGGGAAUAUCCUGACGCUGAGGAGCGAAAGUGUGGGGAGCGAACAGG